GAUUAAAAAGUACUCUCUUAACUGGAGUACCCACAGCCCACUUCACCUCUCAGACCAUGAAGCUCAGACCAUGUGCUGGCUACUACCUUGUGCAACUCUGAUUUCAUGGUGUGUCGUUUGAUAGUCCUUUGGAUUUUAUCCACUCCAAAUAAUUGAAGUACCAGUCAGAUACUCAUUCCGUAUACUGUGUUGAGUACUCUGAUAUCAGAGACAUAUCCUGCCCUCAAACAAGGCAGCCUGGUGAUGAAAAGAUGUAGAUAAUUAUAAUGAAAAAGCAAUUGCAGCAGUGAAAUAUUGAGAAAAGUCAUGAAGGGACAUUUAGGCAGCGUUUUGGAGCUGGUUAGAAUUGUGAAGGCAGAGACAAAGGAGCACUCCAGGUGGAACCGCAUGAACAGAGGCUCUGAGAUAGCCCAACCUAGGAUGUCCAGUUAGUCUGCAUUUUCAGAGAUGUGAAAGAAAUCAGCAGACGAGAAGGAUGGAAAAGUCUGUGAAGUAACCUUGAAUUAGAUGAUGAGGACUUCAAAUCUUACAUCUAUGCAAUGGAAUUCUGUGGCAAGUCACCAGAGAUGCUGACCAUGUUCUGACAGUGGAAGAGAGAACCAGUGGAGAUGUGAACUAGCCAGGAGCCUGGGAGGGCGUACGUCCAUGCCUGCAGUGGAGAAUGCAUACGAACACUGACAAGAGGUCCAGGAGUUACAUUACCAGGACCUACCACAUUGCCUGGCACAUGGUGGCUGCUGGAUGAACACUAGCUGAAUGAAUGCGUGAACACAGAAGCACACAUGGAUUCUAAGACACCGCACACCUGCUUCAGUUGACCCUACUCUUCUAGAAAUCUCAGCUACUCUCAGAGACUUGCCAGGAGCAGGGUACUUACCUGACCCUCUAUACACCUGUCAACAGAGGAAAGAAGUGCUACCUGCCCAGGCUGCCCCUCACAGUAGUUGGCUCCAUC
Molecule: long non-coding RNA, 955 nt
Filed under: Equus asinus (donkey)
Lineage: Eukaryota; Metazoa; Chordata; Mammalia; Perissodactyla; Equidae
Description: lncRNA (ENSEASG00005037442.1)
Source: RNAcentral